GACGAACGCUGGCGGCGUGCUUAACACAUGCAAGUCGAGCGAGACCCCUCCUUCUUUAUGGUGUCCUCGCGUCGAACGGGUGAGUAACACGUGGGCAACAUGCCCUCAGCUCUUGGAUAAAUCCGCGAAACCGGAGCUAAUACAGCAUACGACCUCUACGGGCCUCUGCGGGGGGGUCAAGUUUUUCGGCUGUGGGUGGGGUCGCGGCCUAGCCGCUCCUUGGUGGGGUAGUGGUCCACCAAGGCGCCGACGGGUAGCCGGCUUGAGAGGGUGACCGGCCACACUGGGACUGAGAAACGGCCCAGCCUCCUACGGGAGGCAGCAGUGGGGAAUAUUGCGCAAUGGGCGGAAGCCUGACGCAGCGACGCCGCGUGAGGGACGAAGGCCUUCGGGUUGUAAACCUCUUUCAGCAGGGACGAAGCGAGAGUGACGGUACCUGCAGAAGAAGCACCGGCCAACUACGUG
Molecule: ribosomal RNA, 465 nt
Filed under: uncultured bacterium
Lineage: Bacteria
Description: partial 16S ribosomal RNA
Rfam family: Bacterial small subunit ribosomal RNA
Source: RNAcentral